GAUGAACGCUGGCGGCGUGCCUAAUACAUGCAAGUCGAGCGAACAGGCGCGGAGCUUGCUUCUCUCACGUUUGCCGCGCACGUGUGAGUAACACGUGUAUAACCUACCUAUAAGACUGGGAUCACUUCGGAAAACCGGCGCUUAUCCCGUAUAAUAUCUUGCACCGCAUUGUGCAAUGGUGAAUGUCGGUUUUGCUGUCACUUCUCGCGGCAUCCGCGCCGCAUGAGCUGGUUGUUAAGGUCCCGGCUUACCACGGCUACGAUGCGUAGCCGAACUGAGAGGGGGGUAGGCGACACUGGAACGGAGACAGGGUCCAGAGUCCUACGGGAGGGAGCAGUAGGGAACCGGACGCAAUGGGCGAAAGCCUGACGGAACAACGCCACGUGAGAGAUGAAGGUGCUCGGUGCGUAAAGCUCUGUUAUGAGGGAAGAACAAAUGUGUAAGUAACUGUGCACGUAUUGACGGUACCGAAUCAGAAAGCAACGGCUAACUACGUG
This 497-nucleotide ribosomal RNA is filed under the name uncultured bacterium. RNAcentral's name for it is "partial 16S ribosomal RNA". It matches the Rfam family "Bacterial small subunit ribosomal RNA", at positions 28 to 507 of the family's 1533-position model. The record is from RNAcentral.